This 21-nucleotide unclassified non-coding RNA is filed under the name Mus musculus (house mouse). Its description in RNAcentral is "oocyte_clustered_small_RNA2151". Lineage: Eukaryota; Metazoa; Chordata; Mammalia; Rodentia; Muridae. The record is from RNAcentral.
CUCUGCACUUGGCCUACUAGU